This 536-nucleotide ribosomal RNA is filed under the name Heleomyzidae sp. LACM RW17.105.3451. Its description in RNAcentral is "partial large subunit ribosomal RNA". It matches the Rfam family "Bacterial large subunit ribosomal RNA", at positions 1802 to 2608 of the family's 2925-position model. The record is from RNAcentral. Lineage: Eukaryota; Metazoa; Arthropoda; Insecta; Diptera; Heleomyzidae.
GUUUUAUCAAAAACAUGUCUUUUUGAAUUAAUUUAAAGUCUAACCUGCCCACUGAAAUUUUUAAAUGGCCGCAGUAUAUUAACUGUGCAAAGGUAGCAUAAUCAUUAGUCUUUUAAUUGAAGGCUGGUAUGAAUGGUUGGACGAGAUAUUAACUGUUUCAUUUGAAUUUAUAAUAGAAUUUUAUUUUUUAGUCAAAAAGCUAAAAUAAAUUUAAAAGACGAGAAGACCCUAUAAAUCUUUAUAUUUAUUUUAUUAUAAUUGUGUAGAUUUAUUUUGUUACAAUAAUUUUAAAUAUUUUAUUGGGGUGAUAUUAAAAUUUAAUAAACUUUUAAUUAAUUAAAUCAUUAAUGUAUGAAUAAUUGAUCCAUUAUUAGUGAUUAAAAAUUUAAGUUACUUUAGGGAUAACAGCGUAAUUUUUUUGGAGAGUUCAUAUCGAUAAAAAAGAUUGCGACCUCGAUGUUGGAUUAAGAUAUAAUUUUAGGUGUAGCCGCUUAAAUUUUGAGUCUGUUCGACUUUUAAAUUCUUACAUGAUCUGA